Long non-coding RNA from Ailuropoda melanoleuca (giant panda), 7576 nucleotides. RefSeq lists it as uncharacterized. The record is from RefSeq and is a predicted model, not a curated record. Lineage: Eukaryota; Metazoa; Chordata; Mammalia; Carnivora; Ursidae. The transcript has 3 exons.
GGGAGCGGCUCCGGGGCGGGGUCUGCGCACGCGCGCUGGGGCCGCUCUAGGACUUCGGGAAGACGUUGGAUUCUACGGUUGCUCUGCCGCUGCGCUGGGGACAGAGAAGGCGGGGCGGGUCUCAGGUGGCACCUCCUGUCUUUCCUCUCUUCGGUCCUUGACGCAGGAAUUGCGGAGAGGCCCCCCCCCCUUUUUUUUAGCAGAUUUUUUUUUUAAGAUUUUAUUUAUUUAUUUGACACAGAUAGAGACAGCCAGCGAGAGGGGGAACACAAGCAGGGGGAGUGGGAGAGGAAGAAGCAGGCUCAUAGCAGAGGAGCCUGAUGUGGGGCUCGAUCCCACAACGCUGGGAUCACGCCCUGAGCCGAAGGCAGACGCUUAACCGCUGUGCCACCCAGGCGCCCCCGGAGAGGCCCUUCUUUGCCAGGCGGGUCGUAGAUACACCGGUGACAAAACAGCCGCGUCCCUUACCUGCGGAUCGGAAAUCCCUGCACCUGUUCCAGCGUCGUGGAGGCUUGGCGCUCCUGAAGGUGGGGGGGCUCGGCCCGGUGGGAUGGGAGUGGCUGACGUGGGGUGGCUGGUGCUGGUGCUGGGACUGGGGGUGCCCCCCGAUAUGUGACGAGAUCGGAUUGGGUGGCCAGGGCCCGGCAGGCGGUGGAAGCAGGGGGCAGGAAAGGUGGGAGGACGGCGGAGGUUGCAGGGACAGAGCCCCGUGGUUGUUGGUGAGCCAGGUGGCAGAGGAAGGCUCAGGUAACAAGUCCUCAGAUUUUUCUGACUUGAGCGACUCGGCCCACCAGGGUCCUGAGAAGAAGAGCCCUCGGGGAGGGGUCUGGCGAGGAACCCAGCUCCGAGUGUGCAAUGCCUGGAGCUCACCCGCACACACGGAGACGCGAUCUGCGGUAGGCAGGAGAAUCUGGGUUGUGGGCAUAAAUGUGAGGGGUGGGUAUUGACGCCUCUGAUACCACUGGAACACACAGGUCACCCAAAAAGACUUGAAAGGGAAGAGGCCCUUGUGCCCCUGUGGCUUCUUAAGGUCUGAGCAUUUGAAGAAGGUGGCAUCCUGGGGUCUGAGAACUGUUGGGGUGUUCCUCAGUGGUAAGGGCCUUAAAGCCUAUGGGGCUGGUUCCGUAGAGACCCUCAUGGAGGGAGGCCAUCAGGACCCUAAUGUUGCUGAGGACUAUUGGGAUCGAUGGAGAAGGAGAAAACUGAACUUUACUUCUGGCAGAUAAAGUGGGCAUCUUUUGAGUGGUUGUGCAUGGCUGUGGUAGAAGAUGAAACCCACAGCAUGAGCUCAGAAGCUACAUGUCAGAGCCUGGGUCUCAUCACUGACUUAAGGAAAUGCUAUCUCCUCAGCACUCAGAACUCACUUUGGGCCUUAACCUGGUAAAAUGCACUGAUGAUGAUGACAGUACCGGCCAUCCACUGAGCACCUGCUAGGUGCCAGGUGGUGCCAAGCACCCUACAUGCACCAGGUAGAUAUUAACAUCACCAUUUACAGGUAAGAAGACUGAGGUUGAGGGGUUACACAAAUGAUCCGUGAUUAUAUAAGUGAACCCACAUCUGUCUGUCCACCCCCCAAAGCCCCAGAUUUUCAUAAUGCGUAUAGUUGGUCAUCUGUGCAGACAGAACAAGAGAUUGCGGGUGUGUUACUAAAUAGUUUGGAGUCACUCUAAACUUUCUUCAACCCUAAACUUAUUGCCCAAGAGGACAAGAGAAUGUAAUUUUAAUUUAGUAAGUGGAAGCCUGAUCACUCAUCAGAGAAAGUCUGAGGAAACCUAUAUUCAGCUUAGAUUCCACACCUCAGAGGAAAGAAAAGGGACACAUAAAGAGCCAGACAUGGGCAGACACCAUCCAAGCUCUGUCCCAGGGCAGCUGUGGCUGGGGAGUAACAGCAGUGACCACACAUGUGACUUGAUCCUUAUUGUGGAGAUGAAGCCACACUGUCCAUGCUCAGAGCCCCUGAGAGUUGAACCCUCAGACCCACUUGCCAAGUUCUGACUCCCUGCUUCCCUGGAACCUUGUGUACAAAGAAGGAUGCAAUCCUAGUGGCAACACUGGCGCUGCAGACACCCGACAGGCUCCAGCAGGACCCACAUUCGUGUCCUAGUUGUCUGCUCUUCUAUGUCUGCUUCCUGGAAUACAGGAGGCGUCUCAGCACAGGAAUGAACCAGUCUGCAGAGCUGAGGAGCCGGCCUGGGCUGGUGAGCAUGUCUCUGGAUGGCCUCCCUACUGGCUUUCCAUGCUCCUGACCAGACAUAGACCCCACUCAGCCCCAACCUGGAUGAGAUCUUUACUCUCAAGUCCCACGAGAAGGAAACAGAGCAUGAGGUUUGGGUAAUCAGGAAAUUGAUUUACAAUGUCUGAGUAAGCCUCCAUAUUACGCUUGGGUGGCAGGUGAGAUGAGCCACACAGAGUACCUCCCAAGACGCCUUCACACCCCACAUUCCUAUGCAGCCUGAAUAUGAACUCUGAAACCCUCUGUGGGCAAUGCCUCCCUCCUUCUCAAAAACAUCCCGAGGCCCCCCAGCUUCUAGGACUGAAUCCACACUCUCCAGGAGAGCCUGGAAGGCCAGGCCCUGCCCCACUUCCCAGUCACAUUCCCAUCUUGCCAGCAUCUGGGAAAACAGGAUUCUUUCCACCUUUCGUCUCUUCAUGUGCUACUUCCGCCUUCUUAUGCCAUCAUCCUACCUGUUCUCCAAAGCCUGGUUCCAGUUCUUCCUCAUUAAGCCUUCCUGACUACAGCCACUAUUCCCACUGUGCUCCUGUGGUACACACGGCAGGACAGAUGGUGGGGAGAAAGCAAGCCCGUCAUCAGUGACCUAAGGAAGUGCCUGUUUGUGACAACAUCUACUUCUCCUGUCCCUGUGAGGAGCCUGGAAUUGAGGGCAAGACUCAGAAAUCCCCCCACCUCCUUCCUUUUUGACAAGUGUAAGGCAACAGCUUGCUCUUUCCACCAAGGACUGGGCGUGUGGAGCCCUUGAGCACGUGUGAUGUGGGCCUGUUUGCUCUCAUUGGGCUCCUCAAGAGGAGGCCCCUGAAGACAGGCGCACUUGGGUCAGUCUGUGCCACUGUCUGGUGGCAAAGGAGGGCUGGUCACAUGCAUUUCACAGCCAGGUGCCUCUCCAAAGGCUUUCCUCCUUUCUCCUAGGAUUGGGCCUAAAGGAGGAAAUCUAAUCUGAAACUACAUUUUCUCAGGGCACCUAGCUGGCUCAGUUCGAAGAGCAUGCGACGCUUGAUUUUGGGGUCGUGAGUUCGAGCCCCAUGGUGGGGGUAGAGAUUACUUAAAUAAAUAGAUAUAUAAACAACAACAACAAAAAAAGAAACUAUUUUUUCUCUCAUUAAACUUUGUCUUAAUGGGUCUCAAAAUUCUGUGACAGAUUUUUGGUCAAGUUGUUUCAACUAAAAAGUACUGGAAAAAAAAAAAGAUCCACAAAGCAUUCUCCUUUCCUUCUUAAGGUUUUACGAAUCAUUGUAAUUAUGAACCAGUCUUUUACUAUUCAACUUAAAUGGCCAAUUGUGGCAGUUCUGAGACAUUCUUCCACCACUGGUUAAGGAUGGAUUUGCAGGUAUUAGGGACAAUAUUUCUUUAGCCUACUCUGCUUUCUGAGAAGACUGGGCGACCUUGCCAGCUCCAGCAGCCUUCUUGUCCACUGCUUUGAUGACACCCAAAGCAACUGUCUGUUUCAUGUCAAGAAUGGCAAAACAACCUGGAGCCGGAUAGAGAAGUUCUCAACACACAGGGGUUGCCAGGAACCAUAUCAGUGAUGGCAGCAUUAGCAGAUUUCAAGAAUUUGGAGUAAUCUUCCAUCUUUUUCCCAGAAUGGUGAUCCGUCUUCUUCAACUCAGCAAACCUGCUGGCGGUGAUCUGUGUGACAGCCCUGCACAAGUGCAUCGGCAGCACUGAUUUGGCCCAGAUGGUUUCAGGAUUGCUACCUGAGCCAUGAAGCCUGCUGCUUCCAUUGCUGGAUCAUGUCAGCUGUCCCCAGCCAUACUGCCACGGUGAACAUCUUUGGGACGCAGGUUCUUGACAUGGAAGCCCACACUGUCUGCAGGAAGAGCUUCACACAAAGCCUCAUGGUGCAAUUCCACAGACUUAACUUCAGUCAUAACAUUGACUGGAGAAAAGGUCGCCACCAUGCCAGGUUUGAGAACACCAGUCUCCACUCAACUCACAGGGAGAGUACCAAUACACCAAUUUUUUAACAUCCUGGAGGGGCAGACACAGGCCUUGUCGGUUGGACAAGUUGGUGGUAGAUGCAGUCCUGAGCUUCAAGCAAUGUGGUUCCACUGGCAUUGCCAUUUUUAUAGGUGACUUUCUAUCUCUUCUGGCUGUAGGGUGGCUCAGCGAAAUCCAUUACGUAAACAGCAACAAUUAGUUGUUUCAUACCCUGCGUCUAAACCAGAAGGACGUGCUCAUAGGUCUGUCCAUUCUUGGAGAUACUUGUUUCAAAUUCAUCACCAGCAGCAGCCACAGUCAGGAAGCACAGUCAGCCUGAGAUGUGCCUGACAUCAUGUUUUUGGUAAAGUCUCUGUCCUGGGCGAUCAGUGAUGGUCAUGUAAUACUUGCUGGUUUCAAGUUUCCAGAGGGAGAUAUCCAUGGUGAUACCACACUCUCAUUCAGACUUCAGUUUGUCUGAGACCCAGGCAUCCUCAGCCCUUUCCCAUCUCAGCAGACUCAGAUUUUUGAUGGUUCUUUUGUUGAUCAGAUCACAUUUGUAAAUCAGAUGGCCAAGAGCAGUGGACUUGCCUAAAGCUACAUAUGCAAAGACAACAAUUUUGAUAGGAGUCUUUUCUUUUCCCAUUUUGGCUUGGAUUUAGGAAUGGUUUUCAUGAUGCCUGUGUUCUGGGAGCAAACUCAUUGCAGAAAAAGUUGGAAACAUUUCAACGAUCGUGUUGUACAACCAACCGUUUAGUUAUAUCUAUAGUUUGAAGUACUUUAAUGACCUUAUUGUAUAUAUCAUUUAAUUCACCUUAUUUUUGGGAGGUGCUUAUUUUGGGAGGCUUGAUUUAGAAUGAAGUGUUCACUGCGGCCAGUACUUCCAUUGGUUCACUCUGACGAAAACUCAGGUGCUACAUGGAGGUGGGGUUGACACCCGUUCUACAUGCUUUGAGGUUUAAGAAACUUAGGAUAGAAAUGUAGAAAACUGUCCUGGUCCUCAUGUAGGUUUCAUGAAGACCCUGAGUCAUUGCUCAUCAUUAUUCAGGAUGAAAAAGCAGCUCCAGGGACCCAACACUAACUCUAGCAAUUUUGCCCUUUUCUAUGAAUCCACUUGGAGACUUUUUUCUCUGCCUGCUUUUCUCUGCACAUUGUAUUCUGCUCUUUGGGAUUAACCACAUCAUAGAUCACUAGCCUCCCCUAGAGACGGUGUGAAAAUUAGUUAAAAGGAAAUCUCACUUAGAAUGGAGUCCGGCGGCCAGCAGGGGGAGCGCUCCUGUCAAUUACACACCCAACAGGGACCUUCCAAGCGGCUACUGCUUUAGCUACCACUUGACUGCCCUGCCGGGGAAGGAGGAGGGUUUCCUGCUCCCUGGCAGCAGUGGAGCCAAGGAGGACAAGCCACUACACUUCCAGCUCCCAGUUUACUCCCGGACUUCUAAUUGACAGCAGCGCCCAGCUCCCCCUUUCCUCUGUAAAAGAGCUCUGCUCUCCUUUGCUCUGCAGACCUGCCUGUGGAUUUGCCAGAGCUCGCUCGUUCCAGGUUGCAAUUCCCUGCUGUUCCCGAAUAAACCCAUUUUCGCUGGUAAAAUAACUGGCAGUUUUAUUUCUAAGGUUAACAUGGGAAUAAGGCUAUCUUUUUCUCCAUCCCACACCCUGGUCUAAAGGCAAAAGGCCACUUAUAGAGCAUUGCCCUCCAUGGAUGAGAAUUGUUGGGCAGUUUGUUCAAAGGGAGUGACUGGCAAUGGUGGGCGCCCAGAGUUUCACCUUCUGCCCACAACACCAAACCUCUCUUGAAAACAAAACAAAACAAAACAAAGACAAGAAAAGCCCCUCCUAUCCAUCACAUCCUCUGUGAAGUAUCUGGUUGCAAAUAAGGUGUGAGUUCCAAGUAAAUGCUUUGCCGGCAUUCAUUACAUCCAUAGAGUUCUCUCCAAUAGGAACUCUCAGAUGUUGUAUAACAAGCAACAGUGAAAGGCUUUCCCACCUUUGUUGUAUUCCUGGAUGUGUCUUCUUCCUGUGUGAAGCGUUUCCCUCUAGGAGGGAAUCAUGUGGUAGUGCCUGAAGCCAACUCACACUGAGAGCUUGACACAUUUAUUGAAUUCACAUGUAUUCUCCAUGGUAUGAAUGACCUGAUAUCUAAUAAGUACUGAGCUCUGACUGAAGGAUUUCCCACAUUCGCUACAUUCACUUCUCUCCAGAGUGUGUUGUGUGCUGGUGAAUCAAGUGUAACAUCUGAACAAAGCCUCUCCUGCACUUGGUACACACAAGGGUUCUCUCCAGUGUGUUCUUUGAUGAUUGACCAGUAUGUUUGACCAAACACACCUAUCACACUUACAGGGCUUCCCUUCAGAAUGUAUACUCUGAUGGUGAAUCAAGUGUGGUGGCUGACUGAAGCAUUUCCCACACUGUUUACAUUCAGGUGUUCUCUCUUGUAUGAAUUCUCUGAUGUUUAACAAGCUUUGGUGUCUCUCUAAACCCCUUGUCACGUUGAUUACAGUUUCUCUUCACUGUGAAUUUUCUGAUGUUGUAUGAAGAUUGAGUCUUGAUUAAUUUUUCCCCAUACUCCAUACAUAUGUAGGCUUCUUCCUAGUAUGAAUUUUCUGGUGUUGAGUAGGAUGUGAGUACUUGCUGCAAGACUUCCCACACAGAUUACAUCCACUGAACCCUAACCCACUGGGACCUGUUUGGUGUGCGUUCUGGAUUGAAUCACAUGGAAAGCAUCUGCCACGUAUCCUCUAUUGACCAGCUCCCUCUCCUGCUGGGUCCCUCUGAGGUGCAACAGCUGGACCUGAGACUCCGAGGGCAGGUGCUUUCUCAUACUGGUCUCUGCAGCGUCUCAGUGACACUGCACAAAGCAGGUGCUGACUCCAAAGAAGCACACGAAUGCGUCACACAGACGUUCGCGGAGGGCCUUCCACGUGCCAGGCACUGCUCAGUGCUGGGAUUUGGUGAUGGCUGAAGACCUUGCCCCCUGGAACCGACAUGCUAAUGAGGAGACUGACAAUAAGCAAAUAAAUAUAUGGCAGCAGAUCAGGCUACACAGUUUGUCUGCCAAGUUUUUUCAAAUCGUCACAAAUCUCCAAAAAAUUUUCUAAUACAUCUAUUGAAAAAAAAUCCACGUAUAAGUAGACUCACACAGUUCAAGCCCAUGUUGUUUGGGGGUCAACUGUAAACAUUGUGAAACUGAAUAAAGGAGACUCUGUUAAGAUGCGUUGGGAGGCCAGCAGAGGGAGCUCACCACUACUCGCCUGGAGACCCAACAGAAAAGAGAUUGUACCUUGCAAGUAGAUAUGACUUUGUACCCCCUUUCCUCUAUAAAAGAGCUUUGCUCUCCUUUGCUCUGCGGACUUGCCUAUAGUUUUGCUUUAGCUUGCUUAAUCUGAAUUACAGUUCUCUGCUGUUACUAAAUAAACCUAUUUU